CCCUUAGAUGUUCUGGGCCGCACGCGCGUUACACUGAUGCAUUCAACGAGUCUAAAACCUGCUCUGAUAGGGGUGGGUAAUCUUUUGAAUGUGCAUCGUGAUUGGGAUAGAUGAUUGCAAUUUUUCAUCUUCAACGAGGAAUGCCUAGUAAACGCAAGUCAUCAGCUUGCAUUGAUUACGUCCCUGCCCUUUGUACACACCGCCCGUCGCUCCUACCGAUUGAAUGAUCCGAUGAAUAUCAUGGAUUGAGGAUGCAAGUAGGUUAGCCUAUCUUCAUCUUCGAGAAGUGAAGUAAAUCUUAUCAUUUAGAGGAAGGAGAAGUCGUAACA
Molecule: ribosomal RNA, 329 nt
Filed under: uncultured eukaryote
Lineage: Eukaryota
Description: partial 18S ribosomal RNA
Rfam family: Eukaryotic small subunit ribosomal RNA
Source: RNAcentral